AUUGAACGCUGGCGGCAGGCCUAACACAUGCAAGUCGAGCGGGGACUUCGGUCCUAGCGGCGAACGGGUGAGUAAUGCUUGGGAAUCUGCCCAGUAGUGGGGGAUAACGUCCCGAAAGGGACGCUAAUACCGCAUACGUCCUACGGGAGAAAGAGGGGGAUCUUCGGACCUCUCGCUAUUGGAUGAGCCCAAAUCGGAUUAGCUAGUUGGUAGGGUAAUGGCCUACCAAGGCGACGAUCCGUAGCUGGUCUGAGAGGAUGAUCCGCCACACUGGAACUGAGACACGGGCCAAAACCCUAAGGGAGGGAGGCGGGGGGAAUAUUUGGAAAGGGGGGGAAGCCUUACCCCACCCAGCCCGGGGUGGGAAAAAGGGCCUCCGGGUUGAAAAGCCUUUUAAGAGGGGAGAAAGGUUGGGGGCCUAACACGGCGCGGAUUUACGGUUACCCAUAAAAAAAGCACCGCCAAACUCGUG
RNAcentral lists this ribosomal RNA (472 nucleotides) under uncultured bacterium. RNAcentral describes it as "partial 16S ribosomal RNA". It matches the Rfam family "Bacterial small subunit ribosomal RNA", at positions 29 to 507 of the family's 1533-position model. The record is from RNAcentral.